RNAcentral lists this ribosomal RNA (1728 nucleotides) under Stenotrophomonas maltophilia. Its description in RNAcentral is "partial 23S ribosomal RNA". It matches the Rfam family "Bacterial large subunit ribosomal RNA", at positions 1212 to 2925 of the family's 2925-position model. Lineage: Bacteria; Pseudomonadati; Pseudomonadota; Gammaproteobacteria; Lysobacterales; Lysobacteraceae. The record is from RNAcentral.
AACUUUGUUAUGCGCGGUAGAGGAGCGUUCCGUAAGCCGUUGAAGGUGGAUUGAGAAGUCUGCUGGAGGUAUCGGAAGUGCGAAUGCUGACAUGAGUAACGAUAAUGCGGGUGAAAAACCCGCACGCCGAAAGCCCAAGGUUUCCUUGCGCAACGUUAAUCGGCGCAGGGUGAGUCGGCCCCUAAGGCGAGGACGAAAGUCGUAGUCGAUGGGAAGCAGGUUAAUAUUCCUGCACCUCGCGUAAGUGCGAUGGAGGGACGGAGAAGGUUAGGUGUACCAGGCGUUGGUUGUCCUGGGGAAAGGCGGUAGGUUUGGAUCUUUGGCAAAUCCGGGAUCCUUUAAGACCGAGCACCGAGACGAGCCUUUAUGGCGAAGUCACUGAUACCACGCUUCCAGGAAAAGCUCCUAAGCUUCAGCUUACGCAGACCGUACCGUAAACCGACACAGGUGGGUAGGAUGAGAAUUCUCAGGCGCUUGAGAGAACUCGGGUGAAGGAACUAGGCAACAUGGCACCGUAACUUCGGGAGAAGGUGCACCCUUUUUGGUGGCUCGUGCGAGCUAUAGCUGAAGAGGGUCGCAGUAACCAGGCCGCUGCGACUGUUUAUCAAAAACACAGCACUCUGCAAACACGAAAGUGGACGUAUAGGGUGUGACGCCUGCCCGGUGCUGGAAGGUUAAUUGAUGGGGUCAGCCGCAAGGCGAAGCUCUUGAUCGAAGCCCCAGUAAACGGCGGCCGUAACUAUAACGGUCCUAAGGUAGCGAAAUUCCUUGUCGGGUAAGUUCCGACCUGCACGAAUGGCGUAACGACAGCGGCGCUGUCUCCACCCGAGACUCAGUGAAAUUGAAAUCGCUGUGAAGAUGCAGCGUUCCCGUGGCAAGACGGAAAGACCCCGUGAACCUUUACUAUAGCUUUACACUGAACGUUGAGUUCGUCUGUGUAGGAUAGGUGGGAGGCUAUGAAACCAUGGCGCUAGCUGUGGCGGAGCCAUCCUUGAAAUACCACCCUGUCGUGCUUGACGUUCUAACCUGGGCCCAUUAUCUGGGUCGGGGACCGUGUAUGGUGGGUAGUUUGACUGGGGCGGUCUCCUCCUAAAGAGUAACGGAGGAGCUCGAAGGUACGCUCAGCGCGGUCGGACAUCGCGCACUGUGUGCAAAGGCAUAAGCGUGCUUGACUGCAAGAUCGACGGAUCAAGCAGGUAGGAAACUAGGACUUAGUGAUCCGGUGGUUCUGUAUGGAAGGGCCAUCGCUCAACGGAUAAAAGGUACUCCGGGGAUAACAGGCUGAUACCGCCCAAGAGUUCAUAUCGACGGCGGUGUUUGGCACCUCGAUGUCGGCUCAUCACAUCCUGGGGCUGUAGUCGGUCCCAAGGGUAUGGCUGUUCGCCAUUUAAAGUGGUACGCGAGCUGGGUUCAGAACGUCGUGAGACAGUUCGGUCCCUAUCUGCCAUGGGCGUUGGAGAUUUGAGAGGGGCUGCUCCUAGUACGAGAGGACCGGAGUGGACGAACCUCUGGUGUUCCGGUUGUCACGCCAGUGGCAUUGCCGGGUAGCUAUGUUCGGAAGCGAUAACCGCUGAAAGCAUCUAAGCGGGAAGCGCGCCUCAAGAUGAGAUCUCCCGGGGCACAAGCCCCCUGAAGGAACCAUGUAGACUACGUGGUUGAUAGGUCAGGUGUGUAAGUACAGCAAUGUAUUGAGCUAACUGAUACUAAUGAUCCGUGCGGCUUGACCAU